AGCAGUCGCCACGGUAAUACGAAGGGUGCAAGCGUUACUCGGAAUUACUGGGCGUAAAGCGUGCGUAGGUGGUGGUUUAAGUCCGUUGUGAAAGCCCUGGGCUCAACCUGGGAAUUGCAGUGGAUACUGGGUCACUAGAGUGUGGUAAAGGAUAGUGGAAUUUCUGGUGUAGCAGUGAAAUGCGUAGAGAUCGGAAGGAACAUCUGUGGCGAAGGCGACUAUCUGGGCCAACACUGACACUGAGGCACGAAAGCGUGGGGAGCAAACAGGAUUAGAUACCCCCUGUAGUCCCUGUCUCUUAUA
RNAcentral lists this ribosomal RNA (303 nucleotides) under uncultured bacterium. RNAcentral's name for it is "partial 16S ribosomal RNA". It matches the Rfam family "Bacterial small subunit ribosomal RNA", at positions 507 to 808 of the family's 1533-position model. The record is from RNAcentral.